AUUGAACGCUGGCGGCAUGCUUUACACAUGCCAGUCGAACGGCAGCGCGGGCUUCGGCCUGGCGGCGCGUGGCGAACGGGUGAGUAAUGCAUCGGAACGUGCCCAGUAGUGGGGGAUAGCCCGGCGAAAGCCGGAUUAAUACCGCAUACGACCUGAGGGUGAAAGCGGGUGACCGAAAGGCCUCGCGCUAUUGGAGCGGCCGAUGUCGGAUUAGCUAGUUGGUGGGGUAAAGGCUUACCAAGGCGACGAUCCGUAGCUGGUCUGAGAGGACGACCAGCCACACUGGGACUGAGACACGGCCCAGACUCCUACGGGAGGCAGCAGUGGGGAAUGUUGGACAAUGGGGGCAACCCUGAUCCAGCCAUGCCGCGUGCGGGAAGAAGGCCUUCGGGUUGUAAACCGCUUUUGUUCGGGAAGAAAUCCUCUGGGCUAAUACCCCGGGGGGAUGACGGUACCGGAAGAAUAAGCACCGGCUAACUACGUG
RNAcentral lists this ribosomal RNA (484 nucleotides) under uncultured bacterium. RNAcentral's name for it is "partial 16S ribosomal RNA". It matches the Rfam family "Bacterial small subunit ribosomal RNA", at positions 28 to 507 of the family's 1533-position model. The record is from RNAcentral.